This 325-nucleotide ribosomal RNA is filed under the name uncultured eukaryote. Its description in RNAcentral is "partial 18S ribosomal RNA". It matches the Rfam family "Eukaryotic small subunit ribosomal RNA", at positions 1470 to 1796 of the family's 1831-position model. The record is from RNAcentral.
CCCUUAGAUGUUCUGGGCCGCACGCGCGCUACACUGAUGCAUUCAACGAGCCUAUCCCUGACCGACAGGUCCGGGUAAUCUUUGAAUCUGCAUCGUGACGGGGAUAGAUUAUUGCAAUUAUUAAUCUUCAACGAGGAAUGCCUAGUAGGCGCAAGUCAUCAGCUUGCGUCGAUUACGUCCCUGCCCUUUGUACACACCGCCCGUCGCUCCUACCGAUUGGGUGUGCUGGUGAAAUGUUCGGAUCGGCCGUUUGUCGCGGUUUCCGCGCCAUGUGGCUGAGAAGUUCAUUAAACCCUCCCACCUAGAGGAAGGAGAAGUCGUAACA